ACUUCUGAUUCCUUCGGGGAGAUGAAGUUGGUAGAAAGUGGCGAACGGGUGAGUAACGCGUGGGUAAUCUACCCUGUUAGUGGGGGAUAACCCUCCGAAAGGAGGGCUAAUACCGCAUAAGGUCUUCACUUCUUAAGAAGUAAAGAUUAAAGAUGGCCUCUAUACUAUGCUAUCGCUUCAGGAUGAGCCCGCGUCCUAUUAGUUAGUUGGUGGGGUAAUGGCCUACCAAGACCACAAUGGGUAGCCGGUCUGAGAGGAUGUACGGCCACACUGGGACUGAGAUACGGCCCAUACUCCUACGGGAGGCAGCAGUGGGGAAUAUUGCGCAAUGGGGGAAACCCUGACGCAGCGACGCCGCGUGGAUGAUGAAGGCCUUUGGGUUGUAAAAUCCUGUUCUGGGGGAAGAAACCUUAAGGGUCCAAUAAACCCUUAAGCUGACGGUACCCCGAGAGAAAGCUCCGGCUAAUUAUGUGCCAGCAGCCGCGGUAAUACAUAAGGAGCAAGCGUUAUCCGGAAUUAUUGGGCGUAAAGAGCUCGUAGGCGGUCUUAAAAGUCAGGUGUGAAAUUAUCAGGCUUAACCUGAUAAGGUCAUCUGAAACUUUAAGACUUGAGGAUAGAAGAGGAAAGUGGAAUUCCCGGUGUAGCGGUGAAAUGCGUACAUAUCGGGAGGAACACCAGUGGCGAAGGCGGCUUUCUGGUCUAUUUCUGACGC
RNAcentral lists this ribosomal RNA (712 nucleotides) under uncultured bacterium. RNAcentral describes it as "bacterial SSU rRNA". It matches the Rfam family "Bacterial small subunit ribosomal RNA", at positions 66 to 746 of the family's 1533-position model. The record is from RNAcentral.